This 328-nucleotide ribosomal RNA is filed under the name uncultured Alphaproteobacteria bacterium. RNAcentral's name for it is "bacterial SSU rRNA". It matches the Rfam family "Bacterial small subunit ribosomal RNA", at positions 129 to 497 of the family's 1533-position model. The record is from RNAcentral. Lineage: Bacteria; Pseudomonadati; Pseudomonadota; Alphaproteobacteria.
GCUGAGGUUCGAUAACUGCGGAACUGUAGCAAUACCGGAUGUGUCUGUAAAGAGAAGAUUUAUCGCCUUCAGAUGAGCCNGCACUAGAUUAGCUAGUUGGUGAGGUAACUGCUCCACCAAGGCUACGAUCUAUAGCUGAUUUGAGAGGAUGAUCAGCCACACUGGGACGGAGACACGGCCCAGACUCCUACGGGAGGCAGCAGUAGGGAAUAUUGGACAAUGGGGGNNACCCUGAUCCAGCAAUGCCGCGUGAGUGAAGAAGGCCUUCGGGUUGCAAAACUCUUUCAUCAAUGAUGAUAAUGACAUUAGUUGAAGAAGAAGCUCCGGC